Arabidopsis thaliana (thale cress) is the source of this 288-nucleotide long non-coding RNA. RefSeq annotates it as other RNA. The transcript has a single exon. The record is from RefSeq. NCBI's taxonomy places the organism in Eukaryota, Viridiplantae, Streptophyta, Magnoliopsida, Brassicales, Brassicaceae.
AAAUGGACCGACAAUUAAUCCACUGGAAUCUUCGGUAUGUCUCAUGCAAUGAGAAAAAGACAGGACAAAGACUCGGAGAGACGAAGAGACAUCAGUCUAAACGGCCGUUACGAUCUAGCCACGUGUCAUACAAGUACAAAAACUUGAGCCUGCAUGAAUCUUAGUUAGUCGUAUAUAGUAGACUGCGAGUGGACGGUGGUUCUUUAGCUUUUUACAGGUUUGUUGACUCUGGUCAACUGCUUCUCGUGUAUGAACUCGUUCGUACGUGUCUCCUUGCAUUCUAUCUCU